This 253-nucleotide ribosomal RNA is filed under the name uncultured bacterium. RNAcentral's name for it is "partial 16S ribosomal RNA". It matches the Rfam family "Bacterial small subunit ribosomal RNA", at positions 524 to 776 of the family's 1533-position model. The record is from RNAcentral.
UACAUGGGGUGCAAACGUUGCUCGGAAUUAUUGGGCGUAAAGCGCGCGUAGGUGGUUACCUAAGUCGGAUGUGAAAGCCCUCGGCUUAACUGAGGAAGUGCACCCGAAACUGGGUAGCUAGAGUACUAAAGAGGGUCGCGGAAUUCCCGGUGUAGAGGUGAAAUUCGUAGAUAUCGGGAGGAACACCGGUGGCGAAGGCGGCGACCUGGGUAGAUACUGACACUGAGGAGCGAAAGCGUGGGGAGCGAACAGG